AGUAAUGUCUGGGAAACUGCCUGAUGGAGGGGGAUAACUGCUGGAAACGGUAGCUAAUAUCGCAUAACGUCGCAAGACCAAAGAGGGGGACCUUCGGGCCUCUUGCCAUCGGAUGUGCCCAGAUGGGAUUAGCUAGUAGGUGGGGUAACGGCUCACCUAGGCGACGAUCCCUAGCUGGUCUGAGAGGAUGACCAGCCACACUGGAACUGAGACACGGUCCAG
RNAcentral lists this ribosomal RNA (222 nucleotides) under uncultured bacterium. RNAcentral describes it as "partial 16S ribosomal RNA". It matches the Rfam family "Bacterial small subunit ribosomal RNA", at positions 109 to 334 of the family's 1533-position model. The record is from RNAcentral.